Molecule: ribosomal RNA, 253 nt
Filed under: uncultured bacterium
Lineage: Bacteria
Description: partial 16S ribosomal RNA
Rfam family: Bacterial small subunit ribosomal RNA
Source: RNAcentral
UACGAAGGGUGCUAGCGUUGUUCGGAAUUACUGGGCGUAAAGCGCACGUAGGCGGAUUUGUAAGUCAGGGGUGAAAUCCCGGGGCUCAACCUCGGAACUGCCUUUGAUACUGGAAGUCUUGAGACCGGGAGAGGUGAGUGGAAUUCCUAGUGUAGAGGUGAAAUUCGUAGAUAUUAGGAAGAACACCAGUGGCGAAGGCGGCUCACUGGCUCUGUACUGACGCUGAGGUGCGAAAGCGUGGGGAGCAAACAGG